Long non-coding RNA from Salvia splendens (bonfire salvia), 774 nucleotides. RefSeq lists it as uncharacterized. Lineage: Eukaryota; Viridiplantae; Streptophyta; Magnoliopsida; Lamiales; Lamiaceae. The transcript is spliced from 5 exons. The record is from RefSeq and is a predicted model, not a curated record.
UUUGCUUGAAGAAAUAAAUCAUUAAAAUCCCCAAUUUUUUAGGGUAAACGUUCCUCAUCACGAAUUGUUGAAACAGAAAGCGGCGAUGCCAACAUUUGCAAUAAAAAGAGAGAAACUGCUAUAAAUCAACAGACUAAAGCAAUCAUCAUUCUAUUCCCCUUUCACAGCGUAUGUAUGAAUAGAUGGGUAAUUGAAGGAGUGCUUAGCUCGAAUUAGUCUGCGGUGGAUCGGAGGAAUUGAGAUCUUGAUCGGAGUGCAGUAUUAUUCCAUCGGAGGGAACGAGGCGAGGAAUCCCAUCAACGAUCGGAUUCGGGUGGGAUCGAAGAUCGACCGACCUUAUUAGCAGUCUGUGAAGGUCGUGAAGCUCUAUCAAAUUUGGUUUUCUGAGUUGUCGUCGUGUGUCAUCUCCGCCCCAAUCGAAGGAGGAAAAGCCAAGCCUUUGAAGCAACCUAAGGCUGAAAAGAAAGAGUACGACGAGACUGACAAGGCUAAUAUUCAAAAGAAGAAAGAAGAAGAGAAGGCUCUUAAGGAGCUUAAGGCAAAGGCCCAGCAAAAGGGGGCAUUUGGCGGUUCUGGUCUGAAGAAAAGUGGCAAAAAAUGAGUCCCAGAAGAAUAGCUAGCUCAUUGCUUGUCCUGUUUGUCAUUUUCUUUGUAAUGUAAUUUAAACAUUUUAGGUUGUUCCCACUAAUGUUUAUCGGUAUCUAGCCGUGAAGGGUGUGUGGGUGUAAGAUUGUAUGUUCAACAAUUGAAUCUAUGAAAUGGCUUAUGUAUAAA